CCUACGGGAGGCAGCAGUGAGGAAUAUUGGUCAAUGGGCGGGAGCCUGAACCAGCCAAGUCGCGUGAAGGAAGAAGGUACUUAGUAUUGUAAACUUCUUUUGUCGGGGAACAAAGGCGGAGACGCGUCUCCGGAUGAGUGUACCCGAAGAAAAAGCAUCGGCUAACUCCGUGCCAGCAGCCGCGGUAAUACGGAGGAUGCGAGCGUUAUCCGGAUUUAUUGGGUUUAAAGGGUGCGCAGGCGGGUGAUCAAGUCGGCGGUAAAAUGUCGGGGCUCAACCCCGGCCGGCCGUUGAAACUGGUUGUCUAGAGUUGGAGAGAAGUAUGCGGAAUUCGUGGUGUAGCGGUGAAAUGCAUAGAUAUCACGAAGAACUCCGAUUGCGAAGGCAGCAUACCGGCUCCAUACUGACGCUGAGGCACGAAAGCGUGGGGAUCGAACAGGAUUAGAUACCCCAGUAGUC
RNAcentral lists this ribosomal RNA (459 nucleotides) under uncultured bacterium. Its description in RNAcentral is "partial 16S ribosomal RNA". It matches the Rfam family "Bacterial small subunit ribosomal RNA", at positions 338 to 795 of the family's 1533-position model. The record is from RNAcentral.